UCCCUAAUAGCUCAGAGGGUAAAGCAUCUGCCUGCAAUGCAGGAGACCCAGGUUCGAUCCCUGGGUUGGGAA
Ovis aries (sheep) is the source of this 72-nucleotide transfer RNA. It matches the Rfam family "tRNA". From Rfam's summary of the family: Transfer RNA (tRNA) molecules are approximately 80 nucleotides in length. Their secondary structure includes four short double-helical elements and three loops (D, anti-codon, and T loops). The record is from Rfam. NCBI's taxonomy places the organism in Eukaryota, Metazoa, Chordata, Mammalia, Artiodactyla, Bovidae.